AUGCUGCUCUUGUGCAAGAGCUCCGUGCUCGCCGUCCUGCUCCUCCACGCUCUCUCGCUGCCCGCCUCGGCGCUCGCCGUCGGGCUCGCGCGGCGCCACCGGCGCGACGUUUUGCCCGGCCCCAAGGGCUGCGACGUCUUCAGCGGCAGCUGGGUCCGUGACGACGGCUCCGCGGAGGCGGCCUACACCGGGUACAAGUGCCCGGUCAUCGACGCGGAGUUCAACUGCCAGCUCUACGGCCGCCCGGACUCCGACUACCUCCGGUACCGCUGGAAGCCGGCCAGCUGCGAGCUACCCAGGUUUGACGGCGCGGACUUUUUGACGCGGAUGAAGGGGAAGACGGUGAUGUUCGUGGGGGACUCGCUGGGCCGUAAUCAGUGGGAGUCGCUCGUCUGCCUGCUGCACGCCGCCGCGCCGCAGUCGCCGUCGCAGCUCGUCUCCGCCGACCCUCUCUACACCUACAGGUUCAUGGAGUACGAGCUGGUGGUGUCUUUCUAUCGCGCGCCGUACCUGGUGGACAUCGACGUGGUGCAGGGGAAACGGGUCCUGAUGCUCGACGACAUCGCCGAGAACGCCCAGGCGUGGCGCGGUGCCGACGUGCUGUCCUUCAACUCCGGCCACUGGUGGACGCACACCGGCGCGCUCCAGGGGUGGGAUUACAUGGGGAAGGGCGGGCGGUACUCAGAGGACAUGGAUCGGAUGGUGGCGUUCCAGCGCGGGAUGACCACAUGGGCCAACUGGGUGGACCUCAACGUCGACCCGGCCAAGACCCGUGUCUUCUUCCAGUCCAUGUCCCCCACCCACUACAGCUCCAAGGAGUGGCCCAACCCAGUGUCCAAGAACUGCUACGGGGAGACGGUCCCAUUGACUGGGCUCAACUCCACAGCGCAGCCGAUGGGCCAGGAGCAGGUGACGAAAACGGUGCUGCAGACCAUGAAAUGCCCGGUCCGUUUGCUCGACAUCACGGCGCUGUCGGCGCUGCGGAAGGACGCGCACCCGUCGGUUUACAGCGGCGACUUCUCGCCGGCCCAGCGCGGCAACCCCGCCGGCUCCGCCGACUGCAGCCACUGGUGCCUCCCGGGCCUACCGGACACCUGGAACCAGCUCUUCUACACCUUGCUCUUCUACCAAUAG
RNAcentral lists this ribosomal RNA (1134 nucleotides) under Triticum aestivum (bread wheat). RNAcentral's name for it is "partial small subunit ribosomal RNA". Lineage: Eukaryota; Viridiplantae; Streptophyta; Magnoliopsida; Poales; Poaceae. The record is from RNAcentral.